UGCUGGGCGGAUCAGUGGCGAACGGGUGAGUAACACGUGAGUAACCUGCCCCAGACUCCGGGAUAAGCCUUGGAAACGAGGUCUAAUACUGGAUACGAGAUGCCCCUGCAUGGGGAGUGUCUGGAAAGAUUUAUCGGUCUGGGAUGGACUCGCGGCCUAUCAGCUUGUUGGUGGGGUAAUGGCCUACCAAGGCGACGACGGGUAGCCGGCCUGAGAGGGCGACCGGCCACACUGGGACUGAGACACGGCCCAGACUCCUACGGGAGGCAGCAGUGGGGAAUAUUGCACAAUGGGCGAAAGCCUGAUGCAGCGACGCCGCGUGAGGGAUGAAGGCCUUCGGGUUGUAAACCUCUUUCAGCAGGGAAGAAGCGCAAGUGACGGUACCUGCAGAAGAAGCGCCGGCUAACUACGUGCCAGCAGCCGCGGUAAUACGUAGGGCGCAAGCGUUGUCCGGAAUUAUUGGGCGUAAAGAGCUCGUAGGCGGUUUGUCG
RNAcentral lists this ribosomal RNA (491 nucleotides) under Oerskovia turbata. RNAcentral describes it as "bacterial SSU rRNA". It matches the Rfam family "Bacterial small subunit ribosomal RNA", at positions 81 to 585 of the family's 1533-position model. The record is from RNAcentral. Lineage: Bacteria; Bacillati; Actinomycetota; Actinomycetes; Micrococcales; Cellulomonadaceae.